This is a long non-coding RNA of Ictidomys tridecemlineatus (thirteen-lined ground squirrel), 4029 nucleotides long. RefSeq lists it as uncharacterized. NCBI's taxonomy places the organism in Eukaryota, Metazoa, Chordata, Mammalia, Rodentia, Sciuridae. The record is from RefSeq and is a predicted model, not a curated record.
UGAAAGAUGGAAAUUAAUGUGUUGUUAUUUCUUUAUAUUUUUCUUUCUAUGAAAGAAUAGACAGGAAAAGAAUAGAUUUGUUAAGAAAUAAAUAAACUUGCAAAUAAAUACAAGUGCUUCAGAGCAGAUCACACAAAACUUCCUUUUUCAAAGUACCUCGGUUGCUUUACAUCAGAGUAUUACCAUUUUAUCUAGAACACAAGAGCAUAAUCCCAAUAAAGUUCCCUAAAGUUUAUGUUUCUCUGGUUUGAGUUAUUAAAAGGCAAGUGCAUCCCCCUGUGUGCUUAUUCACAACUCUCCUCCCCCAAAUAAGCACACCACUUCCCCCUGUCCUGAAAGGGGCCUGCAGCAGGCAGCUUGCGCCAGCAAUCCCAGGACAGCUUCCCUCUCUGGGUCACUUGCCAGCAACUACUGCCUCCUUUUCUUCCCUCUCCCUGCCAAAUAGUCUCUUUGAGGCCUCCCAACAGGAACUUGAGUCUGUUAGUGCUACAAACCAUUUCACCAGAAGAGAAAUCUCUGUCCAUUUUCCCCACCUUCCCCUGCCUUUCCCUGUUGAUGUAAUUUAACAAAAUUAGAAAAAAACAUGUACCACACAGAAUCUAAACCUCAGAGUUCUUCUUCCAGAACCAAAUCCACUACUCGUUCUAGUCAUACACAUAUGAAAUGCUGUAUGUGUAAGAUUAUAGAAUGCUGCAUGAUUGUAGCAAAAGAUUAAUUAAAUAUACUAUAUUACAUCCAUGGGAGGUCGGCAAACUGUUUGUAAAAAGCCAGGUGUAAACAUUUUUGGGCCCUGUGGACCAUGCACACUCUCUGCCACUGUAGCCUGAAAACAGCAAAUAUGUUAAAAAAAAAAAAAAAAAAAAAAGGAUGUGGCUAUGUGCCCAUAAAACUUUAUUUUGUACAAACUGAAUUUCAUACAAUUUGCACAUCAAAAAUUUUGUUUUUCUUUUGAUUUUUUUUUUCGAUCACUUCAAAGUGUAAAAAUCACUCUUAGUUCAAGGGAUGCCCCCCAAACAGGUGCACAACUGAUCUGACUCAAGGGCUGUAAUUUGCAGAAGCCUGAUCUAUAGAAUAUUAAACAUGCAAAAUGAGAACAGUAUUAAUUAACUGAUACAGAAUGAUUGCAAAGAUAGACUUGUCAGUGAAAAAAGCGAGAUGCAAGACAAUGUGAAUUUUAUGCUCACCUCUGUUCAUACACACAAACUAUUUGCUAGUAAAUGCCAACAAUGUCUCUAGAAGGACAUGAUUAGAAUUAGGGAGAACUAGGUGACUAAGGCACAGGAGGAGACAGGCUUUUCACUGAUUGCUGUUUUAUAUAUUUUAUAUCAUGAAUCUUUUAAAAAUACAAUUCAUAUAAUUUUAAAGUCCUGCUAUAGAAGACAGGUUUAUAGUUAGAGAAGUCAAAAAGUCAAAUCUCCGUAAAAUGAGGCCAAUGAGUCUAUUUUUUAUUGUGCCAUAUCUCCCAGAUUUUUGAGACAAUGGACUGACUGAACACAGGACAAGCUUUUAUUAUUAAAGCAAAAAUGUAAAAAUUUUCUAAGCUUCGUUCGUUAAUUCAAUAGCUCUAAUAUCCAAUUUGUGUCAAUCAGUUUGCUAAGCAAGAGUCAUAUAGUAGUGGGCCUUUGUCCUCACAAAGAUAGAUUAGCAGAAGGACAGCCAUGAAAUAAGUAAUUACAGUGACUCAGAGUGAAGAAGUAUCUGGUGCUAUAAAAAUGGAGACAGCAUGCCCAGGGAGGGGAAGGUCCAGCCAUAUGUGAGUGUUCCACCUAACGUGUGUAUAAUCAAUCUGCUUCAUUACUGUCAUGUUGUCAAAAUUCUAAAUAUCAAAGACUUGUGUUCUAUGCUGGAAUUUUCACCUUGGUUUGUGAUAUUUCUGAAUAAGGAUCAAUUUAUUUCACAAGUGCUAAAAAUGUGAGCAGGAAGCAAGAAACAUUCAAGGCAAAGGCAGAGCCCAGGACUAGAGUGUCUGCCUGGAUGAAGAUGCUCUAGACAAGCUCUGUAGACUUUGCAGUGCCUUGCUGUCCUACAGUGGCAGCGUGCUCAACACAACAGAGAAACGAGGCAGGAGGAGAAAGAUCCUUCUACCACCAGCUUUCCAAGCAUAUGACAACACAGGCAUAGUACGUCUGCACCUGCGCUGUGGUCUUUGGGUGGCGACAACAGUGACUGGUUUGUACCAGGCAUCAAGGAACCUCAACCACUUGCCUGCACUUGUGGAGUCUACAUGUAGUAGCUUUGGGUCGGGGCUAAUUAUAAUAGUAAUAAUGCUCUGCGUUCUAGUGACCUUCUGAACUCAUGUUUGUUAAAAAGUAGAACACGCAUGAAUGUGACUGACAGGCUGGAGAAGCCCCUGCACUGAGAGCUUAGAUUGUCAGUCACCCAAAGGCACCAUCCCCUCACCUCCACAGAGUAGCAGGACUUCAGCAGAGUAAGAAAGACCAGGGAAGAAGGCUAGGGAGAUUAAGACAAAAUUUAGGCUUUCAUAGAGAAUUACUCUGGACUUGUGGAGUUCAUAUCUGGAACCAUUUUAUAUUGUUGACAUGUUAGCUGAAACAUAUUUGUACUGUCAUGUUGGUUUACUUCAUAAUUUUUUACUUUUGUUACAUAAUAAUAUAAUUAAACAUAACAUGAAAUAGGAAAUAAUAUUAUACAUAUUUACUAAGCACCUAUCAAGCAAUCAAGCAAAAAUGAUCCUCCUACCUCAACCUCCUGAGGAGCUCAAAUUCAGGCAUGCACUAUUGUACCCAACAAAAAAAUUACUGACUACAAAUGCUCAGCUUUGAGUGCACUCUAGCUGGAAACUCAACUUAUUUAUUUGGUGCUAUAUGACGCAUUUCAGAGCCUUCAAUGGGCCAACAGUGAACUGCCAGUCAAUGGUCCCCACUGGAGUCACAAGUGGUAUCAAAGUUCCUGACUGCUCUCUUCUUCCAAAGGAUGAACACCCAUCAGAUGACCCAAUCAGACUGGCAAGCCCAACAGAAGAACCCAAAGCCAGGGAGACUAGGAAGAGUUCUGUUACUCUCCGUACCACUUCCUCCAUUCAUAAAAGAGGAAGUCUCUCUUUUGAGACUUAUUGAGAAGAAACUUUCUGUUUGUCCUGUUUGUGUGUCUCCCCUGAUGCUCCUCACAGAAGUACCCUUUCUCCCUGGUCAAGCUGGGAGUGAUCACUGCAAGUAUGCCACCCAGGGUGUCUCACAAUGCAGCACCAGGAUGGACAGAUGGCAUCUGAAGCUUGACCACCACAAUUCCUACUUCCACCAUGUACAAGCUGCAGAACUUAGGGGGAAUUACUUCCCAAUAUAUACCUUUGUCUCCUCAUCUCUAAAACUCCCUCAGAGUAUAGGGAUUUAAAGAAGUACCUAGUAGAAAGGCAAUGAUCAAGUGUUAGCAACUAUCAUGUUGACUAUUUAGUUUCUCUCCACAGACCUGCCUCAGACCUUCUUUGUAUUUCUGUCUCUUCUGUGCAUGAAGCUUACCCUUAAGAGUCAGGCUGUGCCCACAAGGAGGAUCUGAAAUAGCCCAGCUCUUCGGCCUGGGUCUAGGUAGAUAACGUUACAAUGAGGCAAAAGAAAUAAGAAGCCAAUUUUAGACCUGGAUCUAGGUCAGAUGUUCCUACAUCAUUUUACCAGUAAUACAGUUGACAUUUAAAUCCCUAUUUGACUUCCAUGUGUACUUUUUUAUCAGUCUGAAUUCAAAGUAGAGAAGGUGGGUCUCACUGGCACUUCCAAAGCCUAACAUCAAAAGAUAUAUGAUCUUGUACCUCAAAGAACAAAAAUCACACAAAUCCAGAAAUCAAUGUGCUAAGAACAAUGCUUAGAUGGCAAAAGAAAAAGAGACCCCCCAAAAAAGGAAGCAUUGUGGUUCAUAUGCAAAAGUCUCAAGUGUCUACACAGACACUAACUCUCUUUGGUAAAGAGACAAGCAAAGUCCCAAGACACGGUACACCUAAAACACCAAUAUGUCCUUACACACAUUUACUAAGAGUAAAUGUACAAGUGCACAAUCAGAAUAAAAAUAGUUUUAAAGUUA